This 253-nucleotide ribosomal RNA is filed under the name uncultured bacterium. RNAcentral describes it as "partial 16S ribosomal RNA". It matches the Rfam family "Bacterial small subunit ribosomal RNA", at positions 524 to 776 of the family's 1533-position model. The record is from RNAcentral.
UACGUAGGGUGCGAGCGUUGUCCGGAAUUACUGGGCGUAAAGAGCUCGUAGGUGGUUUGUCGCGUUGUCCGUGAAAACUCACAACUCAAUUGUGGGCGUGCGGGCGAUACGGGCAGACUGGAGUACUGCAGGGGAGACUGGAAUUCCUGGUGUAGCGGUGGAAUGCGCAGAUAUCAGGAGGAACAUCGGUGGCGAAGGCGGGUCUCUGGGCAGUAACUGACGCUGAGGAGCGAAAGCGUGGGGAGCGAACAGG